UCUGGGGAAGCUGCGGCUAAAAAACUCUACCACGAGCAUCUAAAGUUUAGGAGUGUUUUUCACAAAGAUACAACAAUAUGGUGCUCUGUAAACUUGAAAGUGAAGAUGGUUUAUUAUAGCUGUACGACUUGUAUGCACAUGAAACACAAGCAUCCCGAAGCGCAUUUUCAUGACGUCAGCAAAACACGCCGGGUCAAGCAAAGAAGUGUGGAUGACUUUUCAAACAAGCUGGAAUAUGCAAAGAAAGAAUUCCUGUUGUACUGCACAUGUGUAUAUUAUAUAUUACAAAUAAAGGCAUUCUAUAUUCCUUUA
Long non-coding RNA from Trichomycterus rosablanca, 312 nucleotides. RefSeq lists it as uncharacterized. The transcript has 2 exons. NCBI's taxonomy places the organism in Eukaryota, Metazoa, Chordata, Actinopteri, Siluriformes, Trichomycteridae. The record is from RefSeq and is a predicted model, not a curated record.